Molecule: ribosomal RNA, 253 nt
Filed under: uncultured bacterium
Lineage: Bacteria
Description: partial 16S ribosomal RNA
Rfam family: Bacterial small subunit ribosomal RNA
Source: RNAcentral
UACGUAGGGACCAAGCGUUGUUCGGAUUUACUGGGCGUAAAGGGCGCGUAGGCGGCAAUUCAAGUCAGCUGUGAAAUCUCCGGGCUUAACUCGGAACGGUCAGCUGAUACUGCUUUGCUAGAGUGCAGAAGGGGCAAUCGGAAUUCUUGGUGUAGCGGUGAAAUGCGUAGAUAUCAAGAGGAACACCUGAGGUGAAGGCGGGUUGCUGGGCUGACACUGACGCUGAGGCGCGAAAGCUAGGGUAGCAAACGGG